AGAGAAAUUGUAUUUGUGAUUCUCUUUUUUGAUAGAAAUUACAAGACCUAUUAGCCUUUUUCUUUUUUUUUAAACCCUUACCUUCUAUCUUGGAAUCAAUACUGUGUAUUAAUUCCAAGGCAGAAGAGUGAUAAAUGUUUAAGUGACUUGCCCAGGGUCACACAGCUGGGAAGUAUCUGAGGUCAGAUUUGAACUUAGGACCUCCCAUCUCUAGGCCUGGCUCUCAAUUCACUGCCUCCAGACCCAUUAGUCUUAAAGUUUUGCAGCUUGGAUUGUGGAAGUAUGUUUAUUCUUGGAAUAUUGUAGCUGAAUUAUGUGAAAAAGUCUGAAGAUUUCUUUAAAAGCUAUUUUGGAGAAAAGGAUCCAAAAAUGGAUAAGACCGCUGUCCAAGAUAAAUGGAAUGAGGAGAACACCCCAUUCAGAGAAGGCUGUUUCAGACUCCAUCAGGAUUGCCAGAUAGUGGGAAGUCUGACUACUCCUGGGAACAUCCUCCUGUUUUCCUUUCUAUCAUCAAAUGGAAUGCUUGACUGCUCAUAGGCCUGGGGUACAACAGGAUCCCUAUGAAUGCAAGUAUCUGGGAAUGAGAAUGCCUGCUGUGGAGAAACUGCUUCAGACAGAUAUUUCUUGGAAUGAGAGAGGAUGGAGCAAUCAGCUUGGAAGUUUGGGGGGUGCUGCCAAAAAAAGCAAUUUUGCCUCAAAUCCUGGGUUGGACCUAAAUAAUUAUCCAGGAAGAACAUCAUUUUCUCAAGAAACAAGUUUUAGUCUAAGAACUUUGUUGGGGGUGGGGAGGUACAUCAAUCAGGUUGGAAAAUACAAUAAAUUGUAUUUUUCUUUUAAUGUUUUCAUAAGUUAUUUACUUGUAGAUAGUCUAUAUGAUGAGAUUCUUCAUGUGGAGAGACAGUCGUUCAUCACCUUUUUGACAGCUAGGUCUCUCCUGCCAUUUAUCUUGAAUAACUUUUCAUUGCUACUACCCAGAGGUGAAAAUUUCCCAGAGGACAGUAUGGGAUAGGAAUGAGAAGAUAAUGGAAGAUUGGAUUCUCCUUUUCUUCUAGAUAGGCUGUGUACUUGAGUUUUUCUUUACCCCUUUACCAAUACUUCUUUCAUGAUCUUUUCUCUGAAAUUUAAUAAAUCACGUUCAAGUCUAUGACUUAAAACCUUU
Long non-coding RNA from Monodelphis domestica (gray short-tailed opossum), 1159 nucleotides. NCBI's taxonomy places the organism in Eukaryota, Metazoa, Chordata, Mammalia, Didelphimorphia, Didelphidae. The record is from Ensembl.